ACUGUAAAGCGCCAGGGCUAUGACGUUCGAAACAAUCAUAGCUGACGAGGAGGAGGUUUAUCGAGUUUGAUCGGCGGAUACCUCCCGGUUGUACAUCUCAACCGACAUGUCUUUAUUCGAAAGCGAAAAGGCAACUUUUUGUACAAGAAG
Molecule: non-coding RNA, 150 nt
Filed under: Gracilibacillus massiliensis
Lineage: Bacteria; Bacillati; Bacillota; Bacilli; Caryophanales; Bacillaceae
Description: glmS glucosamine-6-phosphate activated ribozyme
Rfam family: glmS glucosamine-6-phosphate activated ribozyme aptamer
About the family: This entry contains a glucosamine-6-phosphate activated ribozyme that is found in the mRNA for GlmS. GlmS is an enzyme that uses fructose-6-phosphate and glutamine to generate glucosamine-6-phosphate.
Source: RNAcentral